UCUUCUGUAGUAUAGUGGUCAGUAUGCAAGCUUGUCACGCUUGAUCUCGGUGCAAGGGACGGGUUUAAUUCCCAGCGGGAGAG
RNAcentral lists this transfer RNA (83 nucleotides) under Fusarium pseudograminearum. RNAcentral describes it as "tRNA-Asp". It matches the Rfam family "tRNA". From Rfam's summary of the family: Transfer RNA (tRNA) molecules are approximately 80 nucleotides in length. Their secondary structure includes four short double-helical elements and three loops (D, anti-codon, and T loops). Lineage: Eukaryota; Fungi; Ascomycota; Sordariomycetes; Hypocreales; Nectriaceae. The record is from RNAcentral.